AUGCGACACGCGUACACUCCGGUGCCUCCGCGACGUCCGUACAUCACCUGACGACUACUCGCUCCGUUUUUGCUGGCC
Molecule: small RNA, 78 nt
Filed under: Xanthomonas arboricola
Lineage: Bacteria; Pseudomonadati; Pseudomonadota; Gammaproteobacteria; Lysobacterales; Lysobacteraceae
Description: sX9 sRNA
Rfam family: Xanthomonas sRNA sX9
Source: RNAcentral